RNAcentral lists this ribosomal RNA (498 nucleotides) under uncultured bacterium. Its description in RNAcentral is "partial 16S ribosomal RNA". It matches the Rfam family "Bacterial small subunit ribosomal RNA", at positions 30 to 523 of the family's 1533-position model. The record is from RNAcentral.
AUUGAACGCUGGCGGCAUGCCUUACACAUGCAAGUCGAACGGUAACAGGUCUUCGGAUGCUGACGAGUGGCGAACGGGUGAGUAAUGCAUCGGAACGUGCCUAGUAGUGGGGGAUAACUACUCGAAAGAGUGGCUAAUACCGCAUGAGAUCUACGGAUGAAAGCAGGGGAUCGCAAGACCUUGUGCUACUAGAGCGGCCGAUGGCAGAUUAGGUAGUUGGUGGGAUAAAAGCUUACCAAGCCGACGAUCUGUAGCUGGUCUGAGAGGACGAUCAGCCACACUGGGACUGAGACACGGCCCAGACUCCUACGGGAGGCAGCAGUGGGGAAUUUUGGACAAUGGGCGAAAGCCUGAUCCAGCAAUGCCGCGUGCAGGAUGAAGGCCCUCGGGUUGUAAACUGCUUUUGUACGGAACGAAAAGCCCCGGGUUAAUACCCUGGGGUCAUGACGGUACCGUAAGAAUAAGCACCGGCUAACUACGUGCCAGCAGCCGCAGUAA